This 498-nucleotide ribosomal RNA is filed under the name uncultured bacterium. Its description in RNAcentral is "partial 16S ribosomal RNA". It matches the Rfam family "Bacterial small subunit ribosomal RNA", at positions 28 to 507 of the family's 1533-position model. The record is from RNAcentral.
GACGAACGCUGGCGGCGUGCCUAAUACAUGCAAGUCGAACGAGAGCGCCCGGUGCUUGCACUGGUCAAUCUAGUGGCGAACGGGUGAGUAACACGUGGGUAACCUGCCCAUCAGAGGGGGAUAACAUUCGGAAACGGAUGCUAAAACCGCAUAGGUCUUCGAACCGCAUGGUUUGAAGAGGAAAAGAGGCGCAAGCUUCUGCUGAUGGAUGGACCCGCGGUGCAUUAGCUAGUUGGUGAGGUAACGGCUCACCAAGGCCGUGAUGCAUAGCCGACCUGAGAGGGUGAUCGGCCACAUUGGGACUGAGACGCGGCCCAAACUCCUACGGGAGGCAGCAGUAGGGAAUCUUCCGCAAUGGACGCAAGUCUGACGGAGCAACGCCGCGUGAGUGAAGAAGGUUUUCGGAUCGUAAAACUCUGUUGUUAGAGAAGAAUAAGUGCUAGAGUAACUGUUAGCGCCUUGACGGUAGCUAACCAGAAAGCCACGGCUAACUACGUG